CGCGGAAUAGAGCAGUUCGGUAGCUCGUCGGGCUCAUAACCCGAAGGUCGCAGGUUCAAAUCCUGCUUCCGCAACCA
Molecule: transfer RNA, 77 nt
Filed under: Sulfurimonas hongkongensis
Lineage: Bacteria; Pseudomonadati; Campylobacterota; Epsilonproteobacteria; Campylobacterales; Sulfurimonadaceae
Also listed under: 6 other names
Description: tRNA-Met
Rfam family: tRNA
About the family: Transfer RNA (tRNA) molecules are approximately 80 nucleotides in length. Their secondary structure includes four short double-helical elements and three loops (D, anti-codon, and T loops).
Source: RNAcentral